This 579-nucleotide ribosomal RNA is filed under the name Triticum aestivum (bread wheat). RNAcentral's name for it is "partial small subunit ribosomal RNA". The record is from RNAcentral. Lineage: Eukaryota; Viridiplantae; Streptophyta; Magnoliopsida; Poales; Poaceae.
AUGCGGCGGCGUUACUCCCUCCUCGAUGUGCUGUCGAUCCGCGACAUGAUGCUGCGGGACUGCUCCGCCGGUACGGUCCAACCCCCUCCCCUCUACACUUCCUCCAUAGCCCCUAACAGAACGGAAGAGGCACCCAGCCAGUCUAUCGAUGGGAUGGCAAAGGCGCAUGGCGCGGCGGCGGCUCUAUGCCCCGACGGCGGGUACACGUCGGACACGCACGACGAGGGCCGGCCGCAAGAAAAAGAAGGAGAUGGCAGACGAUUCGCCGCCACCGACCCAGGUCCCAAACCAGUGGGUCGCCACAACUCCCUGAGCGACCGCGUCAGCGAAAGCCUCUGCAUCGCCGAGGAGGAGGACGUCGCUGUCGACGACCAGAGCAAGGACCUCAUGGACUACGUAGCCCGCCCGCGUCCCAUCGUGGCCUGGGAGGAGUCAGGUAGGAGUGCAGAAAAGGGCAAGCAGGAGGCCAGGACGGCCACAAGUGAGGCAUCCAGCUCGACUUUGCCAUGCGGGCGCGCUGCACAUUCCACCCAUCGCCGGCAAAUCAUUCGUCAGCUGGGAAGAUUUUUGAUCGAUUGA